Molecule: unclassified non-coding RNA, 332 nt
Filed under: soil metagenome
Description: partial contains 5.8S ribosomal RNA, internal transcribed spacer 2, and large subunit ribosomal RNA
Rfam family: 5.8S ribosomal RNA (bases 1-120)
Source: RNAcentral
GAUGAAGAACGUAGCAAAAUGCGAUAAGUAAUGUGAAUUGCAGAAUUCAGUGAAUCAUCGAAUCUUUGAACGCACAUUGCGCCCGCCAGUAUUCUGGCGGGCAUGCCUGUUCGAGCGUCAUUUCAACCCUCAAGCACAGCUUGGUGUUGGGACUCGCGUUAAUUCGCGUUCCCCAAAUUGAUUGGCGGUCACGUCGAGCUUCCAUAGCGUAGUAGUAAAACCCUCGUUACUGGUAAUCGUCGCGGCCACGCCGUUAAACCCCAACUCCUGAAUGUUGACCUCGGAUCAGGUAGGAAUACCCGCUGAACUUAAGCAUAUCAAUAAGCGGAGGA